GUUUUUUAUAGUGACCUUCAGUAAAGACAAAGAAGAGCCUAUUCAAUAGUAUAAUGCUGAAAGGAACCAAUGCUUUAACCACUCCCACCCCCAGUCUCAUUAUCUGGGAGAUGCACAGCAUUUGGGGCUUUCUUGCUGCUUUCAGAGAGUGAUUUCCCAUUUGUUUUCAUUGACCAGGUGCCCGGGAAGAACCCACCGUCCAGCAGGCACAGCGUCGGUCAGCUGUCUUUCUGUCCUUUAAGUCCCCAAUUCCAUGUCUGCCCUUGCGCUGGGAGCAGCAAAGCAAACUUCUUCCAACUGUCGCAGGAAUCCCUGCCAGUAAAGUUUCCAAAUGGAGCACAGACGAGGUGUCAGAAUUUAUACAGAGCUUACCUGGGUGUGAAGAACAUGGAAAGGUAUUUAAAGAUGAACAAAUUGAUGGAGAAGCAUUUCUACUUAUGACUCAAACAGACAUUGUUAAAAUUAUGAGCAUUAAACUGGGCCCUGCUCUCAAAAUUUUCAAUUCCAUCCUGAUGUUCAAAGCUGCAGAGAA
This 532-nucleotide long non-coding RNA is filed under the name Pan troglodytes (chimpanzee). Its description in RNAcentral is "long non-coding RNA NONPTRT014807". Lineage: Eukaryota; Metazoa; Chordata; Mammalia; Primates; Hominidae. The record is from RNAcentral.